UACGUAGGGGGCAAGCGUUGUCCGGAUUUACUGGGCGUAAAGAGCGCGCAGGCGGUCGAUUUAGUCGCGUGUGAAAGCCCCCGGCUCAACUGGGGAGGGUCACGCGAUACUGAUCGACUCGAAGGCAGGAGAGGGUAGUGGAAUUCCCGGUGUAGUGGUGAAAUGCGUAGAUAUCGGGAGGAACACCAGUGGCGAAGGCGACUACCUGGCCUGUUCUUGACGCUGAGGCGCGAAAGCUAGGGGAGCAAACGGG
Molecule: ribosomal RNA, 253 nt
Filed under: uncultured bacterium
Lineage: Bacteria
Description: partial 16S ribosomal RNA
Rfam family: Bacterial small subunit ribosomal RNA
Source: RNAcentral